This is a non-coding RNA of Gossypium hirsutum (cotton), 145 nucleotides long. NCBI's taxonomy places the organism in Eukaryota, Viridiplantae, Streptophyta, Magnoliopsida, Malvales, Malvaceae. The record is from Rfam.
UGUUAAAAUUUUUAUUUAUUUGUAUUGUUAAAAAUUGAUGUGAUUGAUGAAAUAAUCAGAUAAUGACACAUAACGUGUCAUAUGUACCUCAUACUAAUGUACAAAGACCAAUUUUUAAUAGUAAAAAUUGACAGAAUUUUUAAUA